UACGUAGGGUGCAAGCGUUGUCCGGAAUUAUUGGGCGUAAAGAGCUCGUAGGCGGUCUGUCGCGUCUGCUGUGAAAACUCAGGGCUUAACCCUGAGCUUGCAGUGGGUACGGGCAGACUAGAGUGCGGUAGGGGAGACUGGAAUUCCUGGUGUAGCGGUGAAAUGCGCAGAUAUCAGGAGGAACACCGGUGGCGAAGGCGAGUUCCUGGACACUUCCUGACACUGAGGCACGAAAGCUAGGGGAGCAAACAGG
RNAcentral lists this ribosomal RNA (253 nucleotides) under uncultured bacterium. Its description in RNAcentral is "partial 16S ribosomal RNA". It matches the Rfam family "Bacterial small subunit ribosomal RNA", at positions 524 to 776 of the family's 1533-position model. The record is from RNAcentral.